GUGGGAACUGAACAAAGGGGGUAGACGUGGUGGUAGUAAAGUAGGAUUCUCAUAACACACUGUUUUCUCAACUUCUCAGGAUCCUCAGGGUACUAUAGUGAGCCCUGGCAGAUUUAAUGGGAAUCAAGCCGGUUGGUCAGAGCGUCAAUGAUAAUGGGAACAGCUUUGAGACACCCAUCAUCUAUGACUCCUGAAUAUUUUCCAUCUGAUUUCAAUCUAUAAUCCUAAAUCUACCCUGAUGAUGAAGAAUUUCGCUUAGGAAUGCUGAGAUCCUAUGUCCUUUCCCUGGUGCAACGCAAAUAAACCUGAAUCUUAC
Gallus gallus (chicken) is the source of this 316-nucleotide long non-coding RNA. RefSeq lists it as uncharacterized. The transcript has 4 exons. The record is from RefSeq and is a predicted model, not a curated record. Lineage: Eukaryota; Metazoa; Chordata; Aves; Galliformes; Phasianidae.